UACGUAGGGUGCAAGCGUUGUCCGGAAUUAUUGGGCGUAAAGAGCUCGUAGGCGGUUCGUCGCGUCGGCUGUGAAAACCCGGAGCUCAACUCCGGGCCUGCAGUCGAUACGGGCGGACUUGAGUGUUGCAGGGGAGACUGGAAUUCCUGGUGUAGCGGUGAAAUGCGCAGAUAUCAGGAGGAACGCCGGUGGUGUAGACGGCUCUCUGGACCAUUACUGACGCUGAGGUACGAAAGCGUGGGUAGCAAACAGG
Molecule: ribosomal RNA, 253 nt
Filed under: uncultured bacterium
Lineage: Bacteria
Description: partial 16S ribosomal RNA
Rfam family: Bacterial small subunit ribosomal RNA
Source: RNAcentral